AUCGAUGAAGAACGCAGCGAAAUGCGAUAAGUAAUGUGAAUUGCAGAAUUCAGUGAAUCAUCGAAUCUUUGAACGCACCUUGCGCUCCUUGGUAUUCCGAGGAGCAUGCCUGUUUGAGUAUCAUGAAAUUCUCAACCUUUUCAGCUUGCUGAUCAGGAUUGGAUUGUGGGAGUUUUGCAGGCUUCCCAGAAGUCAUGCUCUCCUGAAAUGCAUGAGCAAGGAACCUCUUGUGGACCAGCUCUUGGUGUGAUAAUUAUCUACGCCAUGGCUGCAAAGCAACUUGCCAAUUUGUUUUUGGGGGGUUCUGCUUCUAAUCGUCUCAUACGAGACAACAUUUUGACCUUUGAUCUCAAAUCAGGUAGGACUACCCGCUGAACUUAAGCAUAUCAAUAAGCGGAGGAAAAGAAACUAACAAGGAUUCCCCUAGUAACUGCGAGUGAAGCGGGAAAAGCUCAAAUUUAAAAUCUGGCGGUCCUUGUGGCUGUCCGAAUUGUAAUCUAGAGAAGUGUUAUCCGCGCUGGACCGUGUACAAGUCUCCUGGAACGGAGCGUCAUAGAGGGUGAGAAUCCCGUCUUUGACACGGACUACCAGGGCUUAUGUGAUGCGCUCUCAAAGAGUCGAGUUGUUUGGGAUUGCAGCUCUAAAUGGGUGGUAAAUUCCAUCUAAAGCUAAAUAUUGGCGAGAGACCGAUAGCGAACAAGUACCGUGAGGGAAAGAUGAAAAGAACUUUGGAAAGAGAGUUAAACAGUACGUGAAAUUGUUGAAAGGGAAACGCUUGAAGUCAGUCGCGUUGGCCAGGGAUCAACCUUGCUCUUUUGCUUGGCGUACUUUCUGGUUAACGGGUCAGCAUCAAUUUUGAUCGGUGGAUAAAGGUCAGGGGAAUGUGGCAUCUUCGGAUGUGUUAUAGCCCUCGGUCGCAUACAUCGGUUGGGAUUGAGGAACUCAGCACGCCGCAAGGCCGGGUUUUUUUUUUUACCACGUACGUGCUUAGGAUGCUGGCAUAAUGGCUUUAAUCGACCCGUCUUGAAACACGG
This 1034-nucleotide ribosomal RNA is filed under the name uncultured fungus. RNAcentral describes it as "eukaryotic LSU rRNA". The stretch from base 345 to 1034 matches the Rfam family "Eukaryotic large subunit ribosomal RNA", at positions 1 to 664 of the family's 3401-position model. The record is from RNAcentral. Lineage: Eukaryota; Fungi.